AGUUAGUAGUUGGUCCCAGUCAGUAACACUCUGGGAGGGCUCAGGCCACAUCACGAAAUGUGACAGGAUAGCCUUGAACUCAUCAAUUGCUGGGUAAGAAAGAAUUUUAAUGCAAUGGCAAACAACCAAUCAAACAAGCAAACAAAAACAAUAAACCCUUCCUUGAGGACCAAGAAGACAUUGAUUAGCUAACCUAAGAGCUCCAGGUGGAGACCUAGGUCCUGAUUGGGUUUCUGAAUUUGACCACUAGGCAGAAAACUAGCACCCAAAACCAGUUGGAAUAAAAUUACCCACCUACAGUGGAGCCAAGGCCCCCAGAUCCUUUUUGUCAGCAAGGUAAGCUGUCAUCAGUUGGAGGUAAGCAGAAGACAGUAGAGAGUACAGAGCCCUGGACUGUGACUCAGAGGAUGAGCACCAGAUCCAGUUUGCUGUGCCACAGUGCUCAGCAUGAUGUAAACUCCACUGCGGACAGAUGCAGCCAAGAAGACAGGUCACCUUCUACCAACUCCCACCAGAGGAAACUCUUCCCCAGGACCCAGUACGUUGGCCCUCUGACCCUGCACACAGCACAUGAUGCUGAGGUUCAGUGCUGAACAAGAGCUACUGAGAGCCAGAGAUUCACUUCUUCCAUGGAGCCCCACUCAUGGAUGGAGGCUCUGUCCCGGGUCCAGUGCCACUGGGAACACUGGGUCUCUGGUUUCUAGCUCUGUCCUAUGGCAGAGGUUCCACCCCACAAUAACCGAAGUGCUGAGAAGGUGGGAAGCUCCUGCCCGACCCUCCACUGAGAGCUCAGCUCCUAGGCUGAGGAAUAAAACAGCUCAACUUUGUCUACACC
Molecule: long non-coding RNA, 835 nt
Filed under: Homo sapiens (human)
Lineage: Eukaryota; Metazoa; Chordata; Mammalia; Primates; Hominidae
Description: long intergenic non-protein coding RNA 1193
Source: RNAcentral